ACCAAAAAGGGGGACCUUCGGGCCUCUUGCCAUCGGAUGUGCCCAGAUGGGAUUAGCUAGUAGGUGGGGUAACGGCUCACCUAGGCGACGAUCCCUAGCUGGUCUGAGAGGAUGACCAGCCACACUGGAACUGAGACACGGUCCAGACUCCUACGGGAGGCAGCAGUGGGGAAUAUUGCACAAUGGGCGCAAGCCUGAUGCAGCCAUGCCGCGUGUAUGAAGAAGGCCUUCGGGUUGUACAGUACUUUCAGCGGGGAGGAAGGGAGUAAAGUUAAUACCUUUGCUCAUUGACGUUACCCGCAGAAGAAGCACCGGCUAACUCCGUGCCAGCAGCCGCGGUAAUACGGAGGGUGCAAGCGUUAAUCGGAAUUACUGGGCGUAAAGCGCACGCAGGCGGUUUGUUAAGUCAGAUGUGAAAUCCCCGGGCUCAACCUGGGAACUGCAUCUGAUACUGGCAAGCUUGAGUCUCGUAGAGGGGGGUAGAAUUCCAGGUGUAGCGGUGAAAUGCGUAGAGAUCUGGAGGANANUNNACCGGUGGCGAAGGCGGCCCCCUGGACGAAGACUGACGCUCAGGUGCGAAAGCGNCGGGAUCCAUAACAGGAUUAGAUACCCUGGUAGUCCACGCCGUAAACGAUNUCNACUUGGAGGUUGUGCCCUUGAGGCGUGGCUUCCGGAGCUAACGCGUUAAGUCGACCGCCUGGGGAGUACGGCCGCAAGGUUAAAACUCGAAUGAAUUGACGGGGGCCCGCGCAAGCGGUGGAGCAUGUGGUUUAAUUCGAUGCAACGCGAAGAACCUUACCUGGUCUUGACAUCCACGGAAGUUUUCAGAGAUGAGAAUGUGCCUUCGGGAACCGUGAGACAGGUGCUGCAUGGCUGUCGUCAGCUCGUGUUGUGAAAUGUUGGGUUAAGUCCCGCAACGAGCGCAACCCUUAUCCUUUGUUGCCAGCGGUCCGGCCGGGAACUCAAAGGAGACUGCCAGUGAUAAACUGGAGGAAGGUGGGGAUGACGUCAAGUCAUCAUGGCCCUUACGACCAGGGCUACACACGUGCUACAAUGGCGCAUACAAAGAGAAUCGACCUCGCGAGAGCAAGCGGACCUCAUAAAGUGCGUCGUAGUCCAGAUUGCAGUCUGCAACUCGACUCCGUGAAGUCAGAAUCGCUAGUAAUCGUGGAUCAGAA
This 1178-nucleotide ribosomal RNA is filed under the name uncultured Enterobacteriaceae bacterium. RNAcentral's name for it is "bacterial SSU rRNA". It matches the Rfam family "Bacterial small subunit ribosomal RNA", at positions 200 to 1354 of the family's 1533-position model. Lineage: Bacteria; Pseudomonadati; Pseudomonadota; Gammaproteobacteria; Enterobacterales; Enterobacteriaceae. The record is from RNAcentral.